CCCCCGGCGGCGCUCGCGCGGCGCUGGCCGCCUCUUAGCGCAUCUGCCCCGGCCAGGAGGGGGCAGCCGCCGCCGCCGCCCGAGGGCGCGCCCAAGGGGCCUGCAGCAAGCGCAGCCCGGGGGCGGGCGAGGGGGGCCCCUGGGCAGGCGUGGGUGGGCCAGUGGGCGUGCUUGCGCGCGCGGUCCCGGCGCCGGUGGGCAAGCGGCGAGAUGGGGCGGGGGGCGCAGAGCCAAGCAACAGGGCACGGACGGGAGAGGCUUACUUACAAACGGGGCCCUCUGAGCGGCUCAGCGCCGGGGCAGGGGCGCCCAUGGAACCCCCAGCCAGGAUCUUCGGCAGGGGGACGCGGAGAGGGGAGGGAGCGGGUCAGAAGGCGGCGGCGCGCCGUCCCUUUCCCCGCACUCGCUCUGCUCGCGCGCGCCGGAGUUUUUGACAAUCCACCACCUUAAUAUAAUCAGAUGCGGGGGUAGAAUCCCUUUCUGCAGCCUUCUUAACACGCAUCCCAUCCAUUGACCUCCACAAUUUGCCUACAAUCGACAAAUCCUCAUUAAGAUGGAAACAGAGAUACGCGCUUACAUUUCCUCUUCCGCCUUCUUUGCUCCUCAACAUAUGUUAAUUUCACCUCUUCCUUGCAAAUAGAAAAUGUCGUGAAGACGAUAGAGAGAGAGAUUAAGAGCAAAGAAGAUCGGCAGGCGUGUUUUGCCUGCAGAGGGACGUCAAAGGCACUUUAGAUGAACAAGUGGGUGAGCCAGCGAUGUAGAUGGUUUAAGAACUGCGGGUGACGCAGUUUGCUGGGGUUUGGGGGAUCGACCCUGACUGCUCAGUGGAAGGACAAAUACUGAAUCAGAAACUCAGAUUCUUUGGCCACAUAACGAGAACACAAAUUCACUAGAAAAGACCCUGAGGCCGGGAAAGAUUGAAGGCAAAAGGAAAGGAGAAAGAUGGUGUCAUGGAAGCAACGAACAUGAACUUGGGCAAAACUUCGGGAGGCCUGGAUCUGUGAUCCUUGGGGUCACGAAGAAUCGAUACGAUUGAAUGACUGAACAGCAACAGUAAUAUUUAGCUGCGGCCCGUGUGGGGGCUUUUAACUUGCUGGCUCUUGGGUUCUGCCACCCCAGCGCUGAGUUUUUGGAGCAAGAAAGCUCUCAGCGAAUUAUCUCUCGCAGGUCCCAAUAUCCAUUCUCUCCUAUAAACUUACUUGGCCCGUGCAGACAGGGAUGGAGAACCUAGUUUGCAAAAGGGGACCGGUAGGGACGUUUCCUUCCGGGCGCCAAAUUACUCGACGUAGCGCAGUCAGAAAGAAUUAUUCUGUGUAUGCUCUGUGGAACUCUUGUUCAAUGAUCGCAGGAAAACAGCUUUUGUGAAGGCGGACGGCACGUCAGGAGAUGUGAGAAGCUCCUCUUAAUCCCGGUGAAUAGAUUCACAGGACAGAACCCCGGCUAACUAGGGAAGCGGUUCUCUUUCUCAUGGCAACGCAGGCCGCGGGACCUGAACUUCUCUGAAAGCAGCCGCCAGACGCGCGCAAAGCUGCCGGGCAGUCCCAGGGGCUACGAUCGACCGCAGCGAAACUAGUCCCAGCCGGAGGGGAACGGGGUCCCCCGUCUCCGAUAUCACCAGCGAAAGCGACGCGAGGAAAGAGCCUUGCGAGGCCUCCGGCGCGCACACGCCUCCAGGAUGCUGGGUCAAGAUGGGAGGAGGCGGGAGCAGCGCGGAGCUUGUGCCUGGCGCGGGGCAGUGACCACUUGGGAAGCCAGCCGGGCGGCAGGCAGGCAGGCAGCCCUUGCUGGAAGUGCCCUUGGGAGGAAUAAUCGGGCGCCUGCGGAGGGCGAAGCGAUCUUUUCCAGAGUUUCGGGCGGAAAAGUUUAAGGACGGGGAGGGGGAGAAAGGGAGAGAUUGUGGGCGCGCGGUUUCAAUUCAGAGCACAGGCGCCGACCGCUCAUUCAUUUUUUGCGGCGGAAUCCUGACGCUGCCUCUAACGCCGUUUCUUCCUCCACCGAGGAAACGCCAGCACGUCGGUGAAAUAAUCGUAGAUCGCUUUAGACAGCUCGCCCUUUGUUUUUAAAAACUCAGUAAGCAGGAGACGGCUCUAUUAAAAAAAAAAAAACAGAAAGAAAAUGAUAUCUCCCGCAUUACAGAGAAAGAAAUUGUUCGCAGGAUGGUUUGUUUGUGUAUAUGUGUGUGUUUAUUUUAACACCACUGCCUUUUUUUCUCCCCUCCUGCAAAACUUCCGAGCCAGGUCUCUUUGCAUUUGUUCUCUUCCUGACUUGAGCUGCUCAGAUUCGUAAUGAAAUCUGAGUAUUUUUGAUCUCCGCUUGCCCCAUGCAAAAUUUCCUGAAAAUUCGUGUUAAUUNCAGACUUCUACGGAUCUAAUCAAUGAAGCUCCAGUGCGGACGCAGGGGACCCCCCCCCUUUUGAGGAUGGAAUGAGGAAGGGACAGGAAGGGGACUCAAAACAAGAAAUUUAUUUCUCACCUGAAUAAAUCUCACUUGCUAUUUUAUUUCCA
Salvator merianae (Argentine black and white tegu) is the source of this 2504-nucleotide long non-coding RNA. Lineage: Eukaryota; Metazoa; Chordata; Lepidosauria; Squamata; Teiidae. The record is from Ensembl.